CCUACGGGACGCACCAGUGGGGAAUAUUGCACAAUGGGCGCAAGCCUGAUGCAGCCAUGCCGCGUGUAUGAAGAAGGCCUUCGGGUUGUAAAGUACUUUCAGCGGGGAGGAAGGUGUUGUGGUUAAUAACCACAGCAAUUGACGUUACCCGCAGAAGAAGCACCGGCUAACUCCGUGCCAGCAGCCGCGGUAAUACGGAGGGUGCAAGCGUUAAUCGGAAUUACUGGGCGUAAGCGCACGCAGGCGGUCUGUCAAGUCGGAUGUGAAAUCCCCGGGCUCAACCUGGGAACUGCAUUCGAAACUGGCAGGCUAGAGUCUUGUAGAGGGGGGUAGAAUCCCAGGUGUAGCGGUGAAAUUCGUAGAUAUUCGGAGGAACACCAGUGGCGAAAGCGGCUUACUGGUCUGCAACUGACGCUGAGGCGCGAAAGCGUGGGGAGCAAACAGGAUUAGAUACCCGCGUAGUC
This 464-nucleotide ribosomal RNA is filed under the name uncultured bacterium. RNAcentral describes it as "bacterial SSU rRNA". It matches the Rfam family "Bacterial small subunit ribosomal RNA", at positions 338 to 795 of the family's 1533-position model. The record is from RNAcentral.